Molecule: transfer RNA, 99 nt
Filed under: Gluconobacter vitians
Lineage: Bacteria; Pseudomonadati; Pseudomonadota; Alphaproteobacteria; Acetobacterales; Acetobacteraceae
Description: tRNA-OTHER
Source: RNAcentral
GCCGCUUUCAUGGGGGAGGCAUAACCACUUCUUACCCGACAUACUGCGACCCUGUGUCUUGCGACCCGGACACGGGUUCGAAUCCCGUAGGCGACACCA